GUAAAACAGUAUUCAGAACUACUGAUUUAGAUGUUGAGGAAGGAAAAUAUUUAUAAAUUCAAGUAUCCAUGAAAUCCAGUGGUGUCGAAAAGACAAUAAACACUGGCAGCAAAAGAGAAAUAAUUGUAAUGCAACAAUUUUGGAGUUGAGAUUGUGAUCUCACAGCAACUAAUCUCGUUCAUUUCCAGUUAAAUCAGCAGAAAUAAUUUUCCUAAGUGAUACUGCAGAUAGGCCUUGGUUCUCCAUCUAUGAAGAUGUCUUUAUCCUCUCUGUCUCUCUGUCCUCUUUGUCUUCCCUGAGGAUGGAGAAAAUAUUCAAGAGGUCCUUGCUUGGAGGAGUACAAUGGUUGAGAGCUAAUGUAUGAAGGUGGCUGGGAACUCUGUCUAUAUGAAGGAUCCCAAGUCUAAGAUGGCAAAUCCCUGAUUAUUAUGGAUGACUGGAGUAAUAAUCUGCAUGCAAGUCUCCUAAGAACUCAUGAUUUCACUUUGUGUUUCAAUGGGAUGCUAUUGGUUCCUUAUUGCACAUGGAGACUUAUUU
Pezoporus flaviventris is the source of this 537-nucleotide long non-coding RNA. RefSeq lists it as uncharacterized. NCBI's taxonomy places the organism in Eukaryota, Metazoa, Chordata, Aves, Psittaciformes, Psittacidae. The record is from RefSeq and is a predicted model, not a curated record. The transcript has 3 exons.